Molecule: ribosomal RNA, 256 nt
Filed under: uncultured bacterium
Lineage: Bacteria
Description: partial 16S ribosomal RNA
Rfam family: Bacterial small subunit ribosomal RNA
Source: RNAcentral
GACGUAGGUGGCGAACGUUAUCCGGAAUUAUUGGGCGUAAAGGGUGCGUAGGUGGCCUGACAAGUUAUCAGUGGCAAAUCGAGGCUCAACCUCGUGGAAACUGGUAAUACUGUUCGGCUUGAGUACAGGAGAGGUUAACGGAACUCUAUGUGGAGGGGUAAAAUCCAUAGAUAUAUAGAUGAACAUCAAUAACGGCGAAGGCAGUUAACUAUUCUGUUACUGACGCUGAGGCACGAAAGCGUGGGGAGCAAAACGG